This 2900-nucleotide ribosomal RNA is filed under the name Escherichia coli. Its description in RNAcentral is "23S ribosomal RNA". It matches the Rfam family "Bacterial large subunit ribosomal RNA". Lineage: Bacteria; Pseudomonadati; Pseudomonadota; Gammaproteobacteria; Enterobacterales; Enterobacteriaceae. The record is from RNAcentral.
GGUUAAGCGACUAAGCGUACACGGUGGAUGCCCUGGCAGUCAGAGGCGAUGAAGGACGUGCUAAUCUGCGAUAAGCGUCGGUAAGGUGAUAUGAACCGUUAUAACCGGCGAUUUCCGAAUGGGGAAACCCAGUGUGAUUCGUCACACUAUCAUUAACUGAAUCCAUAGGUUAAUGAGGCGAACCGGGGGAACUGAAACAUCUAAGUACCCCGAGGAAAAGAAAUCAACCGAGAUUCCCCAAGUAGCGGCGAGCGAACGGGGAGCAGCCCAGAGCCUGAAUCAGUGUGUGUGUUAGUGGAAGCGUCUGGAAAGGCGCGCGAUACAGGGUGACAGCCCCGUACACAAAAAUGCACAUAUUGUGAGCUCGAUGAGUAGGGCGGGACACGUGGUAUCCUGUCUGAAUAUGGGGGGACCAUCCUCCAAGGCUAAAUACUCCUGACUGACCGAUAGUGAACCAGUACCGUGAGGGAAAGGCGAAAAGAACCCCGGCGAGGGGAGUGAAAAAGAACCUGAAACCGUGUACGUACAAGCAGUGGGAGCACGCUUAGGCGUGUGACUGCGUACCUUUUGUAUAAUGGGUCAGCGACUUAUAUUCUGUAGCAAGGUUAACCGAAUAGGGGAGCCGAAGGGAAACCGAGUCUUAACUGGGCGUUAAGUUGCAGGGUAUAGACCCGAAACCCGGUGAUCUAGCCAUGGGCAGGUUGAAGGUUGGGUAACACUAACUGGAGGACCGAACCGACUAAUGUUGAAAAAUUAGCGGAUGACUUGUGGCUGGGGGUGAAAGGCCAAUCAAACCGGGAGAUAGCUGGUUCUCCCCGAAAGCUAUUUAGGUAGCGCCUCGUGAAUUCAUCUCCGGGGUAGAGCACUGUUUCGGCAAGGGGUCAUCCCGACUUACCAACCCGAUGCAAACUGCGAAUACCGGAGAAUGUUAUCACGGGAGACACACGGCGGGUGCUAACGUCCGUCGUGAAGAGGGAAACAACCCAGACCGCCAGCUAAGGUCCCAAAGUCAUGGUUAAGUGGGAAACGAUGUGGGAAGGCCCAGACAGCCAGGAUGUUGGCUUAGAAGCAGCCAUCAUUUAAAGAAAGCGUAAUAGCUCACUGGUCGAGUCGGCCUGCGCGGAAGAUGUAACGGGGCUAAACCAUGCACCGAAGCUGCGGCAGCGACACUAUGUGUUGUUGGGUAGGGGGCGUUCUGUAAGCCUGUGAAGGUGUACUGUGAGGUAUGCUGGAGGUAUCAGAAGUGCGAAUGCUGACAUAAGUAACGAUAAAGCGGGUGAAAAGCCCGCUCGCCGGAAGACCAAGGGUUCCUGUCCAACGUUAAUCGGGGCAGGGUGAGUCGACCCCUAAGGCGAGGCCGAAAGGCGUAGUCGAUGGGAAACAGGUUAAUAUUCCUGUACUUGGUGUUACUGCGAAGGGGGGACGGAGAAGGCUAUGUUGGCCGGGCGACGGUUGUCCCGGUUUAAGCGUGUAGGCUGGUUUUCCAGGCAAAUCCGGAAAAUCAAGGCUGAGGCGUGAUGACGAGGCACUACGGUGCUGAAGCAACAAAUGCCCUGCUUCCAGGAAAAGCCUCUAAGCAUCAGGUAACAUCAAAUCGUACCCCAAACCGACACAGGUGGUCAGGUAGAGAAUACCAAGGCGCUUGAGAGAACUCGGGUGAAGGAACUAGGCAAAAUGGUGCCGUAACUUCGGGAGAAGGCACGCUGAUAUGUAGGUGAAGUCCCUCGCGGAUGGAGCUGAAAUCAGUCGAAGAUACCAGCUGGCUGCAACUGUUUAUUAAAAACACAGCACUGUGCAAACACGAAAGUGGACGUAUACGGUGUGACGCCUGCCCGGUGCCGGAAGGUUAAUUGAUGGGGUUAGCGCAAGCGAAGCUCUUGAUCGAAGCCCCGGUAAACGGCGGCCGUAACUAUAACGGUCCUAAGGUAGCGAAAUUCCUUGUCGGGUAAGUUCCGACCUGCACGAAUGGCGUAAUGAUGGCCAGGCUGUCUCCACCCGAGACUCAGUGAAAUUGAACUCGCUGUGAAGAUGCAGUGUACCCGCGGCAAGACGGAAAGACCCCGUGAACCUUUACUAUAGCUUGACACUGAACAUUGAGCCUUGAUGUGUAGGAUAGGUGGGAGGCUUUGAAGUGUGGACGCCAGUCUGCAUGGAGCCGACCUUGAAAUACCACCCUUUAAUGUUUGAUGUUCUAACGUUGACCCGUAAUCCGGGUUGCGGACAGUGUCUGGUGGGUAGUUUGACUGGGGCGGUCUCCUCCUAAAGAGUAACGGAGGAGCACGAAGGUUGGCUAAUCCUGGUCGGACAUCAGGAGGUUAGUGCAAUGGCAUAAGCCAGCUUGACUGCGAGCGUGACGGCGCGAGCAGGUGCGAAAGCAGGUCAUAGUGAUCCGGUGGUUCUGAAUGGAAGGGCCAUCGCUCAACGGAUAAAAGGUACUCCGGGGAUAACAGGCUGAUACCGCCCAAGAGUUCAUAUCGACGGCGGUGUUUGGCACCUCGAUGUCGGCUCAUCACAUCCUGGGGCUGAAGUAGGUCCCAAGGGUAUGGCUGUUCGCCAUUUAAAGUGGUACGCGAGCUGGGUUUAGAACGUCGUGAGACAGUUCGGUCCCUAUCUGCCGUGGGCGCUGGAGAACUGAGGGGGGCUGCUCCUAGUACGAGAGGACCGGAGUGGACGCAUCACUGGUGUUCGGGUUGUCAUGCCAAUGGCACUGCCCGGUAGCUAAAUGCGGAAGAGAUAAGUGCUGAAAGCAUCUAAGCACGAAACUUGCCCCGAGAUGAGUUCUCCCUGACUCCUUGAGAGUCCUGAAGGAACGUUGAAGACGACGACGUUGAUAGGCCGGGUGUGUAAGCGCAGCGAUGCGUUGAGCUAACCGGUACUAAUGAACCGUGAGGCUUAACCUU